Molecule: long non-coding RNA, 337 nt
Organism: Poecile atricapillus (Black-capped chickadee)
Lineage: Eukaryota; Metazoa; Chordata; Aves; Passeriformes; Paridae
Exons: 3
Source: RefSeq, a predicted model, not a curated record
GCGACCCGAUGGCGCCCGGCGGGGGCGGCGCGGGCCCGCCUUGGCCGCGCGUUAAGCUCGCCCAGAGAGGUCCUGGUUAUUUUUACAAGAGUGUUUGGGAUUUUGACAAAUAAAGUUUGUUGACAAGAACAAGACAGAGAAGAGUUUCCUAGGAAUGCAAGAAGCUGUUUAGUCUACCGGUUUAUGAGAAUGUCCACUGAAACUAUAUUUGCUGUCUUGGAUCAUCUUCACUGCUAUCAUCUCCACUUUCCAACUUCUACCCUCCCUGAGGUGAAAGGACCAGAUUGCAUACAGAGACUUACCCAGCAUGGACAGGUUUUUGUCAAAAUAAACCAUG